Molecule: long non-coding RNA, 325 nt
Organism: Balaenoptera musculus (blue whale)
Lineage: Eukaryota; Metazoa; Chordata; Mammalia; Artiodactyla; Balaenopteridae
Exons: 3
Source: RefSeq, a predicted model, not a curated record
GUAUCUUUAUUUCAAGCCCAGGGUGUCCAGAAGCAAGCGUAAAAGCAGUGGUGAUGUAGCCGGUACCGCUAAGAAGUGCCAAGCGAUAACGAUGGAAACAAAAGUGAAAAUAAUUGAGAGAGCGGAGCAACAGAGGAAGAAGAAGUAACUGAAGAACCAAAGAGAUUCACGACGCAGGUAACGGCAAGGGGGUUCUCUGCAUUUGAGGAGGCACUGAUAGUUUUUGAGGCACAGGACCUGAACGUACAACGAACGGUACACGAAGGCUGCAGCAGCCGUUCAGCCAUCCAGUGCCACCGUGUCAUCUAUGAUAAGAAAAAAAGAG